AGGGUUAUUGCUGGGGCUUGGUGCUUGUACUGCCAAUCUACUGCUCCUGGCGCCUUUUUUCCCAUUUUAUUGGAUAGGACAGAGAAAUUAAGAGAGGAGGGGACAUAGAGAGGGUGAAAGAUAAGACACCUGUAGACCUGCUUCACCACUUGUGAAGCACUCCUCCUACAGGUGGGGAGCCAGGGGCUUAAACCGGGAUUCUUGCACUUUGCAGUAUAUGCUCUUAACCCAGUACGCCACUGCCGGGCCCCCUUAAGAUUUCUUUAUGAGAAGGAGAACGGGAGCUUAACUCUGGCAUAUGUUAUGCUAGGGAUUGACCUCAUGCUGAGUCCAGUGCUUUCUCCACUGCACAUCCUCCCAGUUGCUAAUCUUCUUUUUAGUUUUAAGUACCCAUUAAAGUGGGUGGGGCACAGGGAACCCAGUUCCCAUCCCUAAGUCUCAUUUUGGCUUUAGUGCGUUGCUGUAGCCAGCUUCCUAAAAGUGCAGAGCUACUCAUUCCGAGUCUGCUGAAGCACAGAACCCGUCUUGUUUGCUUGAAUUGGGCCGUGAAAAAGCUCACAGCUAGUGCCUGUCCUGUGGGAGCAAAGCAUUUUUUUUGUUUUGUUUUGUUUUUUUAAACCAGUGUACUGCUCAGCUCUAGUUUAUAGUGGUUCUGGGGAUUGAACCUGGGUUCUUGGAGCCUCAGGCAUGAAAGUCUUUUUUUGUACAACCACUGCUAUUUCCCUUGGUCCUUUUAAAUUUUUUAAAAUGUACUUUAGGCAGUCCAGGCGGUGGUGCAUUUUAUCUACUCCACCACUUCUCACCAGGAGGGGAGAGAGAGAGGGUUCCCCUCAGAGAUGGAGUGGAGCGAUCCACAGCUUGGAUGUGGGUUUGCAAUGGGCGCCACUGCCGCCAUUCACAUCCUCUCCCAGGCUCAAGCGUGAGAUGCUGAAAUCCAUUCCCAGUAUCAAAAUGUGCCAGAGUGCUACCCUUGUUCUCUCUCCUCUCCCAUAAAUCUUUUUUUUUUUUUCUUUUUUUCUGGUGGGUGAGAGAGAGUGAGGACCAGGUUUGAACUUGAAGCUCUGCUACUUCAGGCACAAGGGCUUCUGGGCAGAACCACUACACCAAGCCAGCCAUCUCUAAAAAAGUGUUAUUUUUUUCCCUCCUUAUAAAUCUU
Erinaceus europaeus (western European hedgehog) is the source of this 1156-nucleotide long non-coding RNA. RefSeq lists it as uncharacterized. The transcript is spliced from 2 exons. Lineage: Eukaryota; Metazoa; Chordata; Mammalia; Eulipotyphla; Erinaceidae. The record is from RefSeq and is a predicted model, not a curated record.